GGCUUGUCUCCAGAUUCCAACAUUAGAAACAACUGCUGGGAUGAAGAUUAAGAAGCAUUGCAUAGAAAUCUCCUCCUAUAACUAAUGAACAUUUUUUAUCCCGAGAAGGACAGUUCCAUGGUCUGUUUUGGGGAAUUGUCUAUUUGAAGGAGUGUCCAAGGUGGCUUAAAGAUGAUGAACCAUCAUUACAAGGGGUCGGGCCUUGAAGCAGUCCAUCAGCAGCACCUGGGCAGCAGACUGAGCAUGGCACACAGGACGGCUGGGCACAGCCUGCCUUAAUAGGCCAACAAACUAUAACCACAAGAAAGCAAGGCUCUGUGCAUGAACAAUGUGAUUUGUUGAACCCAAACUGGAACCUACUUCCAAGAAUCCUCCUCUUCUGUAGCCCUGGGCUCCACCAGUAGCCCUGGGUGUGCCCCUUUGAAGAAGGGCUAGCCUCCUAGAUCUAUGUAGGCCAUCUAAACGGGUAGCUGUUCUAGCCCAGCACUGUGUCAUAGGGGCAGGGACUAGAUCAGGUUCAUCUUCCCUUGUUCCCCUUCUUCUCUGCUUCCACGGUCUGCCUGAACAUCUGGAGAGAGCAACUCUGAGAUCACCUCACUAUCCUCCACCAUCUUGGAUUCCACACUCCAUUUUCCAGCCAUCACAGUCCUCAUCCAAAGACCCUGGAAACUGUGUCAAGAAUAACUGCCUCUUUCAUUCCCCGACAACACCUGAGCGCACCUGGAUCUCCUUACAGUUGCUAUUCUUGUCAGUGUGGCUAGCACAGAACUCCUACUUAAGUCCCACCAAAAUGAACUGAGCUGUGAAGCCAUAGCUAUUUUAAUUGCCCCCAUCAUAGGAAUUACUCUUUUUCCAUUGAGUGGAACUAUUCUUUGGAACUCUUUUAAAAUUAAAAAUGGUUUUAUAAUUAUAAAUAAAAGCCAUCUUGGUGCCAGAAUAUGGAUGAUUCUCAGGAAUUAUAUCUGAGAGUAUAUUUCUAGUGUUAAUUUCACUGAGGCUGAUAAUAUUUAAAGUUCAGCCCAGGCAGAUCACAUAUGCAGAUAUUUGUAUCUGCAUAGAAAUGUAGCUCUGGGACUGUUCAUGGAAAGUAUUGUUCCCAUAUGUUCAACAAACAAGAUAAUGUGCAGUAUUUUUUCCUUUACAGAUAUGACAGAGUGCAACCUUUUUUGCUGGACUUGCAUUAUGUGUUAAGACUAUUUUGAAUAUGUUGUUGUUGUUGUUGUUGUUGUUGAAAAUAGCUCCACUUGCAUGGGAUUUUAACAUAAGGAACAUGAUCCAGUUUAAUUAGUUUUGCCAAUUCACUUGGUGGGAUAUGGCUUGCACCCAAGAAGAGCCUGAUCUGAUACAGAAAGUCAUAAUAUGUAAAGAACACUGAACUCUAUAUUGCUAGUUGGAACAAUAGGUUAUAAUUUUUCAUAAACAGAGAACAUUCCAGAGGUUUCUGUGGGACAAGAAAUAAUUUUAUUCUUUGGAUCUCUUCUCUUUCCCACUCACUCAAAAGUAUCCAGGGUUAAUAUCUUUACACCAACUCCAUGGGAAAAUUUAUGCUAAGUGAUGACAAUGUAUCACUCUGGCCACCAACAUAGGAAGGUGCGUAAUAAUGGGUUACAUUAUUCAUCCUUCUGGCAUGGUAUUGACUGAGUUCAGACAAUAUAAUAACCCACACUCAAGGACUCACCACCAGUGGUUAUCACUGAAACAGACUAUCAUGUGAUCUCAGCCCAGCUGAAAUUACAAACAAUGAUGGAGAACUCAACCCAGAAACAGACUUUGCAUUCUCUUCAUGGUUUGUUUGAGGUGAACAAGCCAUGGCUUGUAAGUGCAGCUGGGUUUGGACAAUACAAUAACCCACAUUUCAGCAUCAACCCAUGGUUCAAUAACAGCCCAUACUCAAACCUUCGGUGUGGGAUAUUUUCUUGUAUAAAUCCAGUAAUUGACUCCUCUGAUGGGCAGAAACUCUCCAUGGUUGUAGGCAGAUGUCUUUGACAUUCAAAAUCCAGUUGAAUAAGCACUUAGCCAUCAGAUAUACAUGCUAAGGCAGAAUCUAAUUCAUUGCAGAUACAAUACAGUUAACUGCUUGACUUCAUUAAUCCCAUAUACUACACCUUAAUCACCUGUAGAAAAAGCACAUGCUAGAGCAGAGACUUGAAGAUAGCCCUGUCAUAUUGACUCUGAAUUCAACACUUUCUCUUACAAAGAAUAUUGGUGUUUAUUUUAUUGGUAAAGUAAAAUCACCAAUAAGAUUGGUCUGUGAAAUGUGUGGGAUAUGGAACAGUAUUUAUUUCUCUAGACAACAAGUCUAGAUAGAAGCAUCUCACAGGAAAUUAAGCAUUAUUGAUGUUCAAACAUUAGCAUCUCCUUGACAUCAUUAACAGCUAUAAAGUGUAAGUGUAUAUUUCAUUAAGUAUAUAAAGGAUGAGGCUAUUGAAGAACAGCUUAGGGAUAAAGGGCCAGGGGAGAAUUACAAUUCACUGCUUUCUCCAAGAUAUCCCAUCAUAAUUUUGAGAUUAGUUUACAAAAGGAUUCUUGACAUUUUAGCCAACGGUCAAUAUUUAGGAAAGAUUCACCUCUUUGUUCUAACUAUUGUGCCUACUGACUAAGCUACUGAGUAGGCAAAAGUCUGAUGCAGAAUUGGCAAUCCUGUAUGCUGACUGGAUUCUCCUUUGUAUGGGAUGCAGAUGGAAAAUUUACAGCCCCAUCAACACUCUUGGGCCAUUUAUAUCACAUAAUGCCUUAAACUGCAAAGCACAUGAAAGGACAUGAUUUUUUUUCUUCUCACUAUCAGUGACAAUUAUGAUGUGCACACCUGGAAUUAACUGGAAUAGCAUGAUUCAGUGUCCAUAAUUUCUACUGGCCUGGUUUGUGCUUGGGAACAAUCUUUACUACAUUUCUCAGAAGCUCUGCUACUCCUAAUUUGGGCUUAGAUCAAAAUGGGUGCAUGUUCUCCGGAAUGAUGGAUUAUAAACACCAUGAGCCUGAUCUUCCACAUCCCACCAAUGUGCUGUUAUUAUAAGCUGAUUAUUAGACAGUCAGACUUGGACUGGAUGGCCAAAUUCAAAAUUAUCUGCCAGAUGCUUGCUAAGCUAUGAUGCAAGUGUUUUGCAAAAAGGAAUGUCAGUGAUGCUGCGAAGAUGAAGAAAUAUUUAUAUGGUUAGUCUUUGAGGAGCCGAGUAUCAGUAUGGCUUACUUCUGGGUAUGAAAUAUGUAAUCCAGCCACAUUUAAACGAGGGUGUGUUUAUUCUUUCUCUGGUUUGCUGUAUGAUCGUUAUUACCUUGUGAGCCAGCAUUAUAGAUCAACAACACGUAUAAAUGAACAUAGGGUGCUAACAGCUUCUUUACCUCAGGUCUUGGGACACUGGACUGGCCAACCUCACAUGUCUCUGGUCUGUAGGUACCUGUUUCUUAAGCUACGUUUUGGCUUUGCUUAUUUGCCUUUCUGUUUUGUAUAAACCCAAUCACUGCAACACGAUUUAAAUUGCUUCUAUUUGUAUUAGUUAUCACUUGUGCUAUCUUAGAAUGGUUUGUUUGAUUGAUUUUUGAAGAAGAAAGUGAGUAGAAAGGAAAGACAGAUCUAAGCAAUCCAAAUGGGGAAAAGAACAUAUUUCCUGGAGACCCUCCACAUAACUAUCCCCAUAUGGCAGAUAUAAGGUAUAUCCUGUGAUUCCAGAAAGUCGAAGGCAUUCCUUUGCACGUGCAUUUUUGGCAUCAUUUUUCAUGAUUGAUAGUGUUACCUAUGUCAAUUUUGCAGUUUCCCCAAACUGCCAUGGGGAUUAAGGCUGCCACUUUCCUCACAAAACCUCGCACGCUGCACCAGCACAUUCCACAGAAUUCAUGGAAGUGUAAUGGCUUGAGGAAAUGUUACAGAAAUCUUUAAUAUUUAAACCUGAAGUCUUUUUAUUAAGCAUUGUGUCUGAAGAUGUUGAUAAACAAGCAAUGUAUUUGAUUCUACAUGUAAU
Long non-coding RNA from Varanus komodoensis (Komodo dragon), 3956 nucleotides. RefSeq lists it as uncharacterized. NCBI's taxonomy places the organism in Eukaryota, Metazoa, Chordata, Lepidosauria, Squamata, Varanidae. The record is from RefSeq and is a predicted model, not a curated record. The transcript has 3 exons.